Molecule: non-coding RNA, 27 nt
Filed under: Homo sapiens (human)
Lineage: Eukaryota; Metazoa; Chordata; Mammalia; Primates; Hominidae
Source: RNAcentral
UUGGGAGUCCUCAUGUGUAUUGAAUGC